Molecule: non-coding RNA, 45 nt
Filed under: Schistosoma curassoni
Lineage: Eukaryota; Metazoa; Platyhelminthes; Trematoda; Strigeidida; Schistosomatidae
Source: RNAcentral
AUACGGUUGAUGAGUCCCAAAUAGGACGAAACGCAUGUCCUGGAU